UACGGAGGAUGCAAGCGUUAUCCGGAUUUAUUGGGCGUAAAGCGUCCGCAGGUGGCUAUACAAGUCUGCUGUUAAAGCGUGGGGCUUAACUCCAUACAGGCAGUGGAAACUGUAAAGCUAGAGUCUGGUAGGGGUCACGGGAAUUCCCAGUGUAGCGGUGAAAUGCGUAGAUAUUGGGAAGAACACCAGCGGCGAAAGCGCGUGACUGGGCCGGAACUGACACUCAUGGACGAAAGCUAGGGGAGCGAAAGGG
Molecule: ribosomal RNA, 253 nt
Filed under: uncultured bacterium
Lineage: Bacteria
Description: partial 16S ribosomal RNA
Rfam family: Bacterial small subunit ribosomal RNA
Source: RNAcentral